UCAAUGCAUCUGCAACUGUAGAGUUGAAGUGGUCGAACUUCUCGACAAAAUAAGAGAUCUGCUGGACAGCUGUCCUUGCCCACACAGCAGAAGGGGUGGAAGACAAAUAGAAUCAACCCCAGACGUCCCAACAAAAACCCCAAUGGCGCCUAAA
This is a long non-coding RNA of Magallana angulata, 154 nucleotides long. RefSeq lists it as uncharacterized. The transcript is spliced from 3 exons. NCBI's taxonomy places the organism in Eukaryota, Metazoa, Mollusca, Bivalvia, Ostreida, Ostreidae. The record is from RefSeq and is a predicted model, not a curated record.